This is a long non-coding RNA of Aegilops tauschii subsp. strangulata, 3802 nucleotides long. RefSeq lists it as uncharacterized. The record is from RefSeq and is a predicted model, not a curated record. Lineage: Eukaryota; Viridiplantae; Streptophyta; Magnoliopsida; Poales; Poaceae.
GGCUUGGCUUGGGAUGAAGGCGGCCCAGGGCGCAGGAGCUCGCUACUAAAGGCGUUGUGCUCGUUACUGGAGAACAGAGCAGCGGCAGGAGGCAGCGAACAAUGGCCGGCGCGCGAGGUGGGACUUGGCAUGGCGGAACUCGCCGGGUCCGGCCGUGGGUGGCGCUGGACGCCAACAAUCGGAGCACCCUACACCGCCUUUCUGCCUCUGCUCCUUCUUUCCUCCGCGCGCCUGAGCUCCUCGUUGUACGCCUCCCGGGAGGGCUCGCGCUCGCCGCUCGACCAGAGCCACCGCCAGCCAGUCGUCGUUGCACUUGCCGGCGACCCCUCCGCCCCCUCUGCACCACCCUCCACCUCAACUUUGGGUGCACAUGUGUUUGUGGAUGCUCUCGGUUAUUUUUUGCACACAAGGUGUUCGUGUGUUUGUCCGAGCCAGCUUCUGUCACAAAUCCUUGAGGUAAACUCCCACAUGAAUACAUCAUGAGGGUAACUCUCCUUCCAUAUGAUUCAAAACAUGGUAAUCGGGUUACUAGAAUAAUGGUUUGCUAAUUAAUUUACAUCAUGUGGAGUUUCAAGACACAUGGGUACGCCGGCUCCUAUUGCUUGACAAAUGUAUAUCUAGAGAUUUUCUUUAACCGUAUAAAGAAGUUACAGUUAGGUGUUGCCUUUUUUUUAUGCCUAGACACAUCAGCUUCAAUAAGAUCUGGGUGCUCAUGGUGAGAUAUAUAUGCAUGCAUGUUGUUUUUGCUGCGCCUUUUUUUCUUUUAUCUCUGCUGCACCUUUUUAGUUUUAGUUGCUGUUUACCUCCAUCCGACUGAGUUGAGCUAUCGGAGGUGCUGCAAUGUUAUGGUUUGGCAUCUACAGGAUGCCAUCUCAGGUCAUGGAUCCACUGUAGCCGCUUUGUCCUUCACUGAGGACCUUCUCAUCCCCCACAGAGAUCAGAGGUAACCCAUGCAGUUGGAAAUUGAUGCUCAAGUUCUUGCUUCAACAAAUUUUGUUCCGGGUAUAAUUUAUGGCCAUGCCAUGUAUUAAUUAUUAUUCUUAUAAUGGUCAUCUGAAUUUGCAGAGAAAAUUAGAUUUUGGAAGCAGGAAUCCUUACCUCAUAAGAUGGAUGAGCUGUAGGAUUUAAUUCUGUUAAGCUUGAAUUAGUUUUUGAUCAUCAUGUUCCUUGUAUUAGGAAUUCAUUCAUGCCUUCCAGCUCUAAUUUUUUCAUAUUGUUGGUGUAUGCUGGGAGUCACAUUGUGAAUGCUAGCAAACAUUAGGAUUGGGAGUCUUACCCUGUAGGUUAUUAAUAUCUUUUCCACUAUACUUAGGUUCAACAAUUUAAUUUGUAUUAAGGUCACACAAGCAGUUUCGUUUUCAGAUUACAUCUCCAGGACGGCGACGGUGAGGUUGCAUCUCUGCUGCCGUUCCACCCCCAGCCCCUUCUGCCUCUGUCCUCCUCCCAGACCUUGGAGCAGAAGCCCGCCUUGGUGUCACCCGUCGCCGACUCGGAUCAGGAGAAAAAGGGCCCGAUCCACACCUGAAUUGCAAAUUACCAUGCUUGAAAUUAUCUCGCCAUUCUAAAAACUUCGCCAGAACGCCAACCACCCAUGCUCUACCUGAGGUAUGCCAUUUUACAAUCUAAAUCUCCAGAUCACAUGCCAAGAUAAAUGGGACAUGUCUAAUAUGUUCAAAAUUUCGAAAGAGCAUGAGUUUUGAUCAUAACUUCCAUUCCAUCGUUGUUACCUUAGGUUCUUCUUUUACCAUAUGUUUGGCAAAGAAAAGUGUUGUGUAUCUUAUAUUGUUGGAAGAAAGCUUUGAUGCGUUAAGAGAACAAUUAAUGAUGAACCUCCACCAGGACUUAUAUUAACUAUUGCAUAUGAGAGUAAAGUAAAUGACCGACAAAGGAAAUGUUUCACACAUAGCACUUCAGUGUAGCUGAAAUUAUUACUAACUAGAUACGCCCUUUUACUUAAAGUCUUAUACCAAGCUUUGCUGACUGUAGCAAGCUGAAGGAUAGAUCAAAUUUAUCUUGUUGUUUGUCUGUGUGCUGCAAUAUCUUUUGCAAUGACUAAGCUGUAAUUCUGUACUCGGGCGGUUUAAACCAUCUCUUCAGCUGUCCUGCUUUUGGAAAAAGAGCAGCAGCUCUGUUGAAUACCCAAGUUGAUCCAUUUUUACAUUAGUUGACCUCAUAUCAUCUAUGUAAGGUUUCAGUCAAGCUUUUACUAACGGCCUGAUGUAGAUAUAAUCAUACUGCUAAGUUCUUAUAAUAAUGUCAUCACAAAGAUGUUCUGUUUGUUUGGUUAAUCAUAAUGCUAAUUUUCUGUAAUUUUUUCAUCUCGUCAUUCUACCGACUUCACCGGAACACCAUCACCUGUGCAACAUCGACUUCACCGGAACCCGUGUUGCCGCUCCAAUCGGUACUCAUCGUUGUCCUGGCUAGAUGUGAUCAGCUUGAUCCAAUCAUAGUUGGCAGUGGCGUGGCAUUUUAGCUUACAAUCAGUUCGGGUACUGAUUGGAGCUGCUCUAGAUUCUGAUGUUGGGCUCAACCUGGAUAGGUGGAAUAGGUCGUGGAUGUGGUGGCUGCUUUCUCCAAUUAAAUAAUCCAUAGAGUUGCACCAUAAGAUGGAUUAAUUACAAGUGGCUACAUAAUUCUUUGUUUGCCAAGCAAAUGUCUAUGCUAUUUCCUACAAGAAACUUAUGUUUGCUCUGUUUUCAUUUCUGUUGGUAACAUCAGUGCUUUUCCAAGAAUUGUUUCUUCUUACCAACAGGGAGGUUGGUGUGUGAGGAUGUUGUAUUUAGAUGCUUUCUAGAUUUUGCACAAGCUCAGCAAAGUAAUAUUUCUGAUUUGGUCGUGUUGGUAGCCUCGCAUUGUUGUAUUACACUGAGCUAUCUUUUUGUUGGUUCUACGAUCUUUGUCAAAGGUUGUGACAUCUUCGAAGAUGUUUGGUUUAAGAAUCAGCGUAAUUUUAGAGCAGCGAUUUACAUCUCCCUAUUUAUGUUUUCAUGUGCACGGUCAUAGCCUUAAUUUGAUACGUUUAAUUGAUAAUGUAAGACUUAUUUUUUUGCAUAUUGUAUUUCUUGCUUCAUAAGUUGACAAAGCUGCUCUAUACAUUUUGUCCUUUUUCUUGUUAUGGGUGAUCCUUUUGUAUAGUUUAUCUGAACAAUGGUAUGCUUCUCUAUAAGAUGCUCUUGCAGUUUCCUGUCAACAGGAUACUCUUGUUGAGUUAUUUUUGUGUGUGAACAGUUCAGGAGCUUUUCCCUGAACUGAGUGAUCUAGAGGGAUGCUCAAUUCGCUAUGGACGAAGUGGGAGGUCGAAGGCAACAACUGAAGUUAUAUUUGCAAGGCGUGGUGAUGUUGUUGCUGUGACGAGGAACGGUGUCCUAUGAAAAUGCAGAUACUUGGGACUAACACUCUUGAUCGAGCUACACUACCAACCGAUAAUGGAAGGUAUGCUAGGAAUGCUGCCAAGAGGACACUAGGACUGCAGCUUAAUUCCUAAAUCUACAUUUUAAGGAGAGGGUGGACUUUUUGAGUAUACAGAAAGAAGUUGAAGGAGGACAACCACAUGGUCACUAAUUGUAGUGCCUGAGGGAGUAGCACAGGAUCUUAUUGCCAAAAGUAUACUUGUACCGAAAAAGGCUUUCGCCCCGCUUUAUAUAUAAAGCACCGAUCAACAAGCAUCCAGUAUAAACACACGCCACCGCAACACACGCACACACCCAGAGCAGGAUACAUAUGGGCUGAGCGCAGCAAUGACACGUCUCCAAUGUAUCUAUAAUUUUUUAUUGUUCCAUGCUAUUAUAUUAUCUGUUUUGGA